GUGAUUCAUGACUGGGGUGAAGUCGUAACAAGGUAGCCGUAGGGGAACCUGCGGCUGGAUCACCUCCUUAAUCGACGA
RNAcentral lists this ribosomal RNA (78 nucleotides) under Pseudomonas syringae. RNAcentral's name for it is "partial 16S ribosomal RNA". The stretch from base 1 to 70 matches the Rfam family "Bacterial small subunit ribosomal RNA", at positions 1464 to 1533 of the family's 1533-position model. The record is from RNAcentral. Lineage: Bacteria; Pseudomonadati; Pseudomonadota; Gammaproteobacteria; Pseudomonadales; Pseudomonadaceae. RNAcentral also lists the same sequence under 1 other name.